This 468-nucleotide ribosomal RNA is filed under the name uncultured bacterium. RNAcentral's name for it is "partial 16S ribosomal RNA". It matches the Rfam family "Bacterial small subunit ribosomal RNA", at positions 28 to 507 of the family's 1533-position model. The record is from RNAcentral.
GAUGAACGCUGGCGGCGUGCUUAACACAUGCAAGUCGAACGGUGAAGGCGGAGCUUGCUCUGCUGGAUCAGUGGCGAACGGGUGAGUAACACGUGAGCAAUCUGCCCCUGACUCUGGGAUAAGCGCUGGAAACGGCGUCUAAUACUGGAUACGAGCUGCGAAGGCAUCUUCAGCAGCUGGAAAGAAUUUCGGUCAGGGAUGAGCUCGCGGCCUAUCAGCUUGUUGGUGAGGUAAUGGCUCACCAAGGCGUCGACGGGUAGCCGGCCUGAGAGGGUGACCGGCCACACUGGGACUGAGACACGGCCCAGACUCCUACGGGAGGCAGCAGUGGGGAAUAUUACACAAUGGGCGAAAGCCUGAUGCAGCAACGCCGCGUGAGGGACGACGGCCUUCGGGUUGUAAACCUCUUUUAGCAGGGAAGAAGCGAAAGUGACGGUACCUGCAGAAAAAGCGCCGGCUAACUACGUG